UACAGAGGGGGCAAGCGUUAUUCGGAAUUAUUGGGCGUAAAGGGCGCGUAGGCGGCUUGGCAAGUGGAAGGUGAAAUCCCUCGGCUUAACCGAGGAACUGCCCUCCAAACUGCUUGGCUUGAGACCGGGAGAGGUGAGUGGAAUUCCCAGUGUAGCGGUGAAAUGCGUAGAUAUUGGGAGGAACACCAGUGGCGAAGGCGGCUCACUGGACCGGUACUGACGCUGAUGCGCGAAAGCUAGGGGAGCAAACAGG
Molecule: ribosomal RNA, 253 nt
Filed under: uncultured bacterium
Lineage: Bacteria
Description: partial 16S ribosomal RNA
Rfam family: Bacterial small subunit ribosomal RNA
Source: RNAcentral